UAGACUGCCAUUAAGAUCUUGCAUGCCACUUUGAAAACCUAAGUGCUAGAGUUUUAGUGUCAAUAACCAAUUUAUUUUUUUUUUUUUCCUGGUAAGAUAUAAUUGCACCACUCUUUGGGACACAGCUCCAGUAUUUCUUACCUCUUCAUUAAUUAGGAAGAAUUCAUAUUUUUCUAACUUGCAAAUGUUGAGAAUCACUCUUUCUGUACACAUUCCUUGGAGGCCAUCAAACUCCACAACACUGAAGGAUGAUUUUUUAAGAAGUCCUAACAAGGAGCAUGCCAGGCCCUAAUUCGUAGUUCUUCAUCUCCUUUUUGGAUGUAACUGAACAACAUAAAAAUGCAUCAGCAAAGCUGUUUUUCACUCCUGGGUGAACUUUAUACCCAUUUGGAGAACUGAAUCAGCUCAGCAAAGAGCCAGAGAUAUGCUACAGUAUGCAGCAGGGAGGCCCUAGAAGAUACCUGAGAGAUGGAAAGAGCACAACUGCCUCCUCCAGUGGAAGAAAGCCAUUGGGUUGGGUCAUCUCGGCUUGUCUAAUUGAAGUCCAUUUAAAAUAAAAGUAAUUUUUGAAGAUGGAUGGGUCAACAGGUGAGAAACUGAAAGAGCUUUGUAUGUAGCCACAGCGAAAAGGUGCAACAUUAAAAUUCCAGCAUUGAAGAGGCACAUCUGAGAUUACUGCAGUGAAGUCCCCAUCUCAAAGUGAUAUUUGAAAACCACUUAAGAAAAGAAUAACUGCUGCUAAUCAUUUAAAAGUACCCAGGCAUUUAAAGACAUUUAAACAGUUGGUCUUACUGUGAAAAGCAAGUUAAAAAUAUUGACAUUAACAGAGAAAUAGCUUAUUCAUCUCCUUCUAAGGUUUUUCAAGUAAUUUGGCAGCUAUAGGUCUCUUUUAUCUGGUUUGAACUAUAGUUCCAGUUUCACCAUUGCCAUGACUGUACAAUUUAGGUCAGAUCCAAAAGCGGUGUUUGGAACAUACUGCUGCAUUGCUCUAACAAUGUAGCAUGUGUAUCAAAUAAGAGGAAAAGAAUAUCUUGCAUAAGGCCACAUCGAGGCAAAAGAGCAAUCAACAGCUACCACCCUCUGGUUCUUUACUGAGAGAAAAGAAUAGCUCACUCAAGUGCCUCUCAAUAAUUCUUUCCAGGGUUUCCAGCAAGGUCAACAAAGCUUCAUGGUCAAUGGCUAGUGAGAGAGUGAAGGAUUAGCAAAAGCAUUUAAUUUUUGUCCAUUGAUGACAGCAGAUCACUGGGCAAUAAGAUUUCCUUUCUUAUUAUCAGGGUCACGUAGAAGAACUGUUCCUGCUGAAGUUGCAGAAAUUAAACUUAUAAAAUAUGCUUUGCAAAAUUUAGGGGAGAAGUUAGAUUUGAUUGUAAUUGUUUAGCAAACCCCAAGAGCUAUAGUUCAUAAAUUAAAAGGUUUUGUGAGCACAAACAUUAAUUGAGUUACAUGUGCUUUCUGAAAUGUAGUCAGUUGGUUCUCGAAAAGAUUAAUGUUCUUGUGAUUCCUUUGUAUGCAUGUCUGAAUUCUCCACUCGUCCCUGUGGGUUCUGUUUAGUGGCAUUUAGGUUCUCUGAUGGAGCAGAUGACUUUUUACAGCUGACAGUGUUGCAACAGGGAUCAGGAGAAAGCUUAUUUGUCUGACCCCCAGUCUGGAAGAGGAACUCAAAAUGUGGAUACGGGUAGAAACUGCUUUUUAAUGUUUUCAUUCUGUUGAUAACAUCAGGCUUAUUUUCUCUGAUGAGAGCGGGCUAAGCCUUGCCAGAAUCUUUCUAAAGCCUGCUGAAGGCACAGAUCUCCCUGCUGGAUUUUGUUUUCUUUCUUUGUUUAACAGACAGAAUAAUAUUUCUGGGGAGGGGGACAGGCAGAGGCAGGGAAAUGUUGCUUAUGGAGGUGGUGGGAGGGAACAUCCACUUGAUCUUUGUUUUCCUUUUCCCAUCCCUCCAUUUAUAACCCAGGUCUUGCUCCAAAGGCAUCACAAGAACUCUCUCCCCACCCUCUCCCCUUGUUAGUGAAAGAAGUUUCUACCUUAAUAAUACUGCUCUUUCCUCUGCCUCAUCACCAGCAGUUAUAGUCACAGCUUUCCAUAUUUUAAUGAUGUUUCUAUAUUAACAAUCUGGGAAUUAUAAAUGUUUUAUGGGUUUCUCUGGCCAGGUCUGUGGACGGAGCAUCAACAGCAACUUUGUUUGGAAAAACCUCAAGAGACAGGCUAAACGCUGUUCUAUUUAAGGCUUGAGGGAAGUCUGACAUAUCUUGAAAACUUGCUUGGUUUUUUUUAGGAAAAAGCACAGUAGCUUUUCCCUUAAACUUCCGCUAUCUUCCUUAUCCUUCCUAUUCAAAAGCUGCCUACAGACAACUAGUU
This is a non-coding RNA of Phalacrocorax carbo (great cormorant), 2355 nucleotides long. The record is from RefSeq and is a predicted model, not a curated record. NCBI's taxonomy places the organism in Eukaryota, Metazoa, Chordata, Aves, Suliformes, Phalacrocoracidae.